RNAcentral lists this ribosomal RNA (484 nucleotides) under uncultured bacterium. Its description in RNAcentral is "partial 16S ribosomal RNA". It matches the Rfam family "Bacterial small subunit ribosomal RNA", at positions 30 to 507 of the family's 1533-position model. The record is from RNAcentral.
AUUGAACGCUGGCGGCAGGCCUAAUACAUGCAAGUCGAGCGGAUGAAGGGAGCUUGCUCCUGGAUUCAGCGGCGGACGGGCGAGUAAUGCCUAGGAAUCUGCCUGGUCGAGGGGGAUAACGUCCGGUAACGGGCGCUAAUACCGCAUACGUCCUGAGGGAGAAAGUGGGGGAUCUUCGGACCUCACGCUAUCAGAUGAGCCUAGGUCGGAUUAGCUAGUUGGUGGGGUAAAGGCCUACCAAGGCGACGAUCCGUAACUGGUCUGAGAGGAUGAUCAGUCACACUGGAACUGAGACACGGUCCAGACUCCUACGGGAGGCAGCAGUGGGGAAUAUUGGACAAUGGGCGAAAGCCUGACGCAGCAAUGCCGCGUGAGUGAUGAAGGUCUUCGGAUCGUAAAACUCUUUAAGUUGGGAAGAAGAGCAGUAAGUUAAUACCUUGCUGUUUUGACGUUACCAACAGAGAAAGCAACGGCUAACUUCGUG